GGGAAUGUGGCUCAGUGGUAGAGCACUUUCCUACCAUGGACAAAUUCCUGGGUUUAAUUCCUAGCACCCCA
RNAcentral lists this transfer RNA (71 nucleotides) under Heterocephalus glaber (naked mole-rat). It matches the Rfam family "tRNA". Rfam says of the family: Transfer RNA (tRNA) molecules are approximately 80 nucleotides in length. Their secondary structure includes four short double-helical elements and three loops (D, anti-codon, and T loops). Further hydrogen bonds mediate the characteristic L-shaped molecular structure. tRNAs have two regions of fundamental functional importance: the anti-codon, which is responsible for specific mRNA codon recognition, and the 3' end, to which the tRNAs corresponding amino acid is attached (by aminoacyl-tRNA synthetases). tRNAs cope with the degeneracy of the genetic code in two manners: having more than one tRNA (with a specific anti-codon) for a particular amino acid; and 'wobble' base-pairing, i.e. permitting non-standard base-pairing at the 3rd anti-codon position. Lineage: Eukaryota; Metazoa; Chordata; Mammalia; Rodentia; Bathyergidae. The record is from Rfam by way of RNAcentral.